Molecule: long non-coding RNA, 5310 nt
Organism: Triplophysa dalaica
Lineage: Eukaryota; Metazoa; Chordata; Actinopteri; Cypriniformes; Nemacheilidae
Exons: 4
Source: RefSeq, a predicted model, not a curated record
CAGACUGCGUGUGAGCGGUACCAGAGAGACGCUGCGCGCGAUGCCUUCGGUUUAACGGGAGAACAGAGGGCUCGCGACAGAGACAGUUUGAGAAGUGCAUGCACAGAACGCAUGCUUUAUAAACAAUUUUUAAUAACGGAAAUGUGUGUAGAAUGCAUGACGCAUGCACAUUGCUUGCUGGGAGAGCAUACACGUGUCCAUUGCGCGACUGUGGGUCAUUCUUUAUGGAUAGCAUGUGUGUUUAUUUUAGGUGGAUGAGUGAUGCCGGCCUUUAACAUAUGCUGCUCGUGUCUGUGCUGUUUAUGCUGGAUACAAAUGUCGUUGUUGUUUUAAGGCAAUUGUAAAAGCGCGACGGGAACGCGGUGAACGGAGUGCGUCGGUGGGUUGGUCCGUGGAUCUGAGUCAAAUGGCUCUUGAGAGCACCUAUAAAGAGAACAGAAGGAAUAGAGUUACGCACUUGUCAAAAUGAACAGUUCAGAAGUCACUGCAGUCCUGAGGAGAGAAAUCUACGAAGUUAAAAUCUUCUUCUAUCAUUUACAGAAAGGCCGUGCAAGAUGUAAAGGAUCGUCUGGAGAGCGGCCGAGUGGCCUGCUUAGACCAAUUGCUGAAGGCACUACAGCUAUAUUUCACCUGCCUGUGGUUCUGGAAGAUAAGCGCUGACAUGUGGUAGCCUGAAGCUUGCAUGUUAAGAGGCCGAAGAGUAGACGCCAGCGCACAACACUGCAGGUGUAAAAGAUAAAGUCACAUGGAUGAGAGCUGAGGCCUGUACCAUGAAUGUUGCUGAACAAACUCAAGGUUACAGGAUUAGUUUUGGGUUGAUAAAACAAAACCAACGUCAUCAAGCUUUGUUGGUACCAUGAAGCACCUCAUGGAGUUUCUUUGUCAACUCAAGCUUUGAUCCUGAAGCUAAGAUUUGUUUGUGCGCGCGUGCACAUAAACGAGUGACGUCGUCAUCGCUUAACCAAUCGCGUUCAACAUGGAUAGAGGGAGUUCCGUAUGUUUGUUAGGAAAUAAUUAUGCGCAAAUAUAAGUUACACAAAAUUGUAUUUCGGGCCACAGAGUAAUACUGUUUCUGCAGUCUAUGCAACAGAGAACGGUUUCAGAAACACUGCUGAUUGAGUUAAUGCACAAGUUAAACGACUAUAUAGUACACACAUUUACUGUAGUGUACUAUAGUAAGGUAAAUAUUAAAGUACUGUAAUAAGAUGUAUGUGUAUAAUGUAUGUGUGUGCCCCCAAAGCGGAUGAACAUAUCCUACUAACAUAUAGUUAUCAUUUAGUUUACCUUUAUUAAGAGAAUGAAGCACAUAAUGAAGUGAAACGAUCUGUGUGAUGACAAAGUUAAAGGGAUAAAUGUACUGUACUAUUCAUUAUGGCACACGUGUGAAAGUGAAAAUGUAUAUUUGAUGGUACAGGUGUCUCUGUUAUUGUAGGACAUUUCACAACCUUCCCCAGAAACUGAAGUGCUAAAUGACUAAAUGUAAAUGUAAGUGUACCUCCAUUGGUUACAGAAGAAAUGUGAACAAAAUACACUAGAGAAGCUUACUCUAAAUAAAGAAGUACCAGGAUGUGAACUUAGUAGUCAGUUUAAGUGUACAUUUUAAAAUCUGAUGGUCAUCUCAAUCCUGACUCUGGUUUGACUGAGGGCCAUGUUGAAGUUGUUCUGUGUUCAGGAUAGCAAAAACCUUUGGCAUACAUAGGGACCCCUGUCUCCCACCAACAGGCUAUCAAACAGUCCUGUCAUAGAACAAAGAAGAGAUUAUUGUUUUGAAGGUUGUAUUUAAUUAAUUUAAAGGAUUUUGUACUGUUUCCCAUUUACCGAUUAAAAUAGCAGUGUUAAAAGAAAUGUGAUGUCACCUGUCAAUGUAUGGUUUUGCCUAUAUAUUACUGUAGCUGUUUAAUAGAAGGCUUAUUUGGACAAAGAAGAUAAAUGUUUCACACAAAGUGAAACUGAAAGUGUUCCUAGAUGUUCUGCACCACAGACAAGAAUGUGAAAAAUGCAAUGCAAAGAAAUACAUAUUGUAUGUAUUACAAUAAAAGAAUGGAAUAUAAAUACAUUUAAUUUCAUGUGUAAGGGAAAGCCAGCACAUGUUAUCUCUAAAAUCAGAUUUUUACCUAUAACCAUUAUUUAAUUUUAUAUUUGUAAUACGUAUUUACAUCUUUUUAUGUUAGUAUUUUUAUUUUAUUAAACAUAAUUAAAAAUAACUAGCCAUUGUAACAGAAACAUUAAGGACUGCGUUUGUUUGUACCACCAUCAAUGCCCUGUAUCACGAAGCGAGAUGAACAACACUGAGUUGCAGAGUAAGUUUUGAGUUGACAAAACCAGACAAACCCACAGUGGUUUAGAUCAGCUAGGUUCAGCUGCAGCGCAACUUGGUAUAAACUUUCUCUGUCAACUCUGGUUUGAUCCAGAGUUUGUGAGGCGCUUGCAACUUAAAGUGUGACACAUGAGGCAAACAGCCAAUCACACGGAACAUGGAAAGCAUCAUCCAUUUGAUUUGCUUCUCGCGAGUAUCAGCCGAAUCCACUUUUCUGUUGAAGAUGAAGAGAUUAAUGUGAAAAAAAUCUAAUUAGUUCAAUUAGUACUUGUCUGAGUGCCACAAGUAAAUUCUGUCAACUUUAACCUGAACCUGUUUUGUGUAAGAGUAUUCAUUGAAGAGAGUACUUUAACAUUCUGGCAUAGUCAGGUUUUCUUUGUUGGUGGCAUAAGGAUAAUUUUGGUGGGAGGAAUUGUUUUUUGGGGGGGUAAACAAUAGCAACCUUAGGCCGUGGUUUACAGCGGAUAAAGUUUGGGACUACUUCGUGGGAAAAGACUGCAGGUGGCUCUAUGGAUUCUGAGUGGCAAAGACAAGAGUUGGAAUCACCAGCCUUUCCAGAGAAUUCAAGUGGAAAUAUGGACAAAGCUGAUAAAGCUGUAAUGGACAGAGGGCAACAAGGGUUGUUGAUUCUACAGGCUGAGAAGGUACCAAAAUUCUCAGGGGUUUUGAAUGUGACAGACACUCUUACUGUAGAGGAAAUGCAUGUUCAUACUAAAGCUAUGGCGAAAGAGAAAGCAUUGUGGGUGUAUAAUCAUUUAGAGGAUGCCGCUCUCAUCUUCCAAAGGUGGAAACGGAAUUAGUAUUAGUAAAGUAUAUUUAGAGUGCUGAGAGAAGUUUAUGGGUGUUCACACUCUCAUAUUUCCCUGCAACAUCGGUUAUUUAAUCGUAAACAACGGGAGAGGGAAUCUUUGUUAGAUUAUUCCCAUGUUUUGAUGACGUUAAUGGAUCAAAUUGUGAAGUCAAACGAACUGGCCGAGGCUAAGUCUCAAAAAGAUCAUCGUGACCAAUUUUGUGAUGGGGUGUAAGAUCAAAUAUUGGGUGUGAGAUUAAGCGAUCAAGUACGGGUAAAUCCGAAUUGGACGAUUCGUGAAGUACGCAGGGAAGCUGUUAAAUGGAUAGUACAAUGUGAGGGACAGUAUUUUAAAUGAAAGCCAAAAGACACCCCAUAUUUUUCUAAUGAGGCCCAGGUUAAGGGGUUUAAUGAGCAGAAGCAUAUAAAUCAAUCGGAGCAUGCAGAAUUUAGAUCUCUAAUUGAGGCACAGCAGAGUCAGUUGGAUUCACUGGUAAAGGCACUUAACCCAUUAAAAAUGAGUGUAAUGGCUCCUGCCCCUGCGCCUCCCUCUAGAAAUAGAAGGAGGAUGUAGAGCGAGUUGAGAUGUUUUCGGUGUGAUCAGUUGGGUCACAUGGCACGUUAUUGUUCUGCUCCUCCACAGCUUAGGCCGAUACAAGCAGGAAAGGAAAAUGUGACUCAACAGGGAAACUAGAACCGCCAGUGUGCAGAGCCACACACUGGUGGAGAAAACACCUGACUCUUUUAUUGAGACCACGCGAAUACUUGUGAGCCAUUGCCCAGUAGUAGAAGUGAAGUUUGGGGAUAUGGUAAUUCCUUCUUUGUUGGACACGGGGUCAAUGGUUACAACUAUAACCGAGGGUUGCUAUAAUGAGUGUUUUACUCAACUUCCGCUGAAGAGUUGCUUGUGGUUAGACCUUAGAGUGGGUAAUGGGUAAGAGUUACCUUAUUUGGGCUAUUUGGAAUUAGAUGUCACAAUCUUGGGUAAAUACAUGCCAGCUAUGGGUGUACUGGUAGUGAACGAUCCCAAAGACCCCAAGAUGCAGUUUAGGAAGCUAGGAACCCCGGGGCUACUAGGAAUGAACGUCAUUAAGGGAUUUUAUCAUGAGUUGUUUCAGCAACAUGGCACUAGACUCUUUGACAUUCCAGUACUACUGGAGUUUGACGGUAUGGAGAAGAGCUUUGAGGCAUUGCCAGGUUGAAGAAACAAUCUUUAAACUCACAUGAAGUCUAUAAGGUUAAAGUGCAAGGAGGGGCCAAACCUCCUUCGACCCGCCUCGGCUGCUAAGCUGUCCUCCUUGACUCAAACAAUUUAAUAAAUACUCUAGACCUGAAACAAACCUGUCUGUGUCCCCUUUUAUGUUACGACAUUCUUAUUAGAUUCCCAAGAGUCGUAACAUAAAGAGUUGUAAGGCAGCUGGAAAAGUGCAAAGAAUUAAGGUUGUUUGUAAAGCUGGGACACAAAACAAUCAAACACCAUUUGUUGCUAUAUCAUGAGGAAUGAUAUCCUUUCCUCCCAUCAGGGGUUGAUGUCCAUGAACUGAACUCUUCUUAUCACACCUCUCUCAUCCACUUCAUCUAUUCAGGCCUUGAUCAUUGGAAAAGUGCUUACACAUUCCAUAUUGUGUUUAUAAUGUUUUGUCAUGUUAUGAAGAUUUGAAAAUCAUGUUUGGUAUUGUUUUAAAGGUCUUGGUGCGAUGGGUGAAAGGGUCUAGUUCCUUCAAACCUAACAAAGAGUGUAUUAGAGCUUUUUAACUUUAGGACGUUACCUGCACUCCUCUAAGAGGAUUGGCUUUAUCAGGGAAUCCAGUUCAAAGAUAAAUUGGCAUCCCAUUUGAUGAUCUCGUCAGCAACAAGUUAAACUAAAUUUCACAAUGACCAUUGUAUUAACAAUGAACAUUGACUACAUCAUUCUUGGGUAUAAAAGGUGCAUUGGCAAAAGACUCAGGGAAGAUUCUGUAACCAGAACUUCCCACAUUGCAGAUGUGCAUCUUGAUUUGGAAGCAUCUGUAACCAGAACUUCCCACACUGCAACUGUGUGUCUCGAUUUUACCAGGUAUGAUAAACUUUGUGGUUUUAUUUUGUUCUUAUACUAUGUUAAUAAUCUUUGCAUAGUAUAUUAGGAAUUUCCAUGUAUAUGCAUUCUAUGAUUUUAAUUAAUGUUGUGCCUGCCUGGUAUAAUAAAUUGUUAUUGUUGAUAUUA